This 528-nucleotide ribosomal RNA is filed under the name uncultured bacterium. RNAcentral describes it as "bacterial LSU rRNA". It matches the Rfam family "Bacterial large subunit ribosomal RNA", at positions 823 to 1351 of the family's 2925-position model. The record is from RNAcentral.
GAAAGGCUAAUCAAGCUCGGAGAUAGCUGGUUCUCCUCGAAAGCUAUUUAGGUAGCGCCUCGGACGAAUACCACUGGGGGGUAGAGCACUGUUAAGGCUAGGGGGUCAUCGCGACUUACCAACCCUUUGCAAACUCCGAAUACCAGUGAGUACUAUCCGGGAGGCACACGGCGGGUGCUAACGUCCGUCGUGAAAAGGGAAACAACCCAGACCGCCAGCUAAGGUCCCCAAUCAUGGCUAAGUGGGAAACGAUGUGGGAAGGCAUAGACAGCUAGGAGGUUGGCUUAGAAGCAGCCAUCCUUUAAAGAAAGCGUAAUAGCUCACUAGUCGAGUCGGCCUGCGCGGAAGAUCCAACGGGGCUCAAGCCAUGAACCGAAGCUGCGGAUGCAUCUUAUGAUGCGUGGUAGAGGAGCGUUCUGUACGCCUGUGAAGCUCGAUUGAGAAGUCGGGUGGAGGUAUCAGAAGUGCGAAUGCUGACAUAAGUAACGACAAGGGGAGUGAAAAACUCCCCCGCCGGAAGACCAAGGG